GAUGAAAGCUGGCGGCGUGCCUAAUACAUGCAAGUCGAGCGAACGGACGAGAAGCUUGCUUUUCUGAUGUUAGCGGCGGACGGGUGAGUAACACGUGGAUAACCUACCUAUAAGACUGGGAUAACUUCGGGAAACCGGAGCUAAUACCGGAUAAUAUUUUGAACCGCAUGGUUCAAAAGUGAAAGACGGUCUUGCUGUCACUUAUAGAUGGAUCCGCGCUGCAUUAGCUAGUUGGUAAGGUAACGGCUUACCAAGGCAACGAUGCAUAGCCGACCUGAGAGGGUGAUCGGCCACACUGGAACUGAGACACGGUCCAGACUCCUACGGGAGGCAGCAGUAGGGAAUCUUCCGCAAUGGGCGAAAGCCUGACGGAGCAACGCCGCGUGAGUGAUGAAGGUCUUCGGAUCGUAAAACUCUGUUAUUAGGGAAGAACAUAUGUGUAAGUAACUGUGCACAUCUUGACGGUACCUAAUCAGAAAGCCACGGCUAACUACGUG
This 497-nucleotide ribosomal RNA is filed under the name uncultured bacterium. RNAcentral describes it as "partial 16S ribosomal RNA". It matches the Rfam family "Bacterial small subunit ribosomal RNA", at positions 28 to 507 of the family's 1533-position model. The record is from RNAcentral.